This 253-nucleotide ribosomal RNA is filed under the name uncultured bacterium. Its description in RNAcentral is "partial 16S ribosomal RNA". It matches the Rfam family "Bacterial small subunit ribosomal RNA", at positions 524 to 776 of the family's 1533-position model. The record is from RNAcentral.
UACAGAGGGGGCAAGCGUUAUUCGGAAUUAUUGGGCGUAAAGGGCGCGUAGGCGGCCUGGCAAGUGGAAGGUGAAAUCCCUCGGCUUAACCGAGGAACUGCCCUCCAAACUACUUGGCUUGAGUCCGGGAGAGGUGAGUGGAAUUCCCAGUGUAGCGGUGAAAUGCGUAGAUAUUGGGAGGAACACCAGUGGCGAAGGCGGCUCACUGGCCCGGUACUGACGCUGAGGUGCGAAAGCGUGGGGAGCAAACAGG